GCCGGGCGUGGUGGCGGGCACCUGUAAUCCCAGCUACUCAGGAGGCUGAGGCAGGAGAAUCACUUGAACCCAGGAGGCAGAGGUUGCAGUGAGCCGAGAUCGUGCCACUGCACUCCAGCCUGGGUGACAGAGUGAGACUCUGUCUCAA
RNAcentral lists this small RNA (148 nucleotides) under Pongo abelii (Sumatran orangutan). RNAcentral describes it as "Metazoan signal recognition particle RNA (ENSPPYG00000038349.1)". It matches the Rfam family "Metazoan signal recognition particle RNA". Rfam says of the family: The signal recognition particle (SRP) is a universally conserved ribonucleoprotein. Lineage: Eukaryota; Metazoa; Chordata; Mammalia; Primates; Hominidae. The record is from Rfam by way of RNAcentral.